RNAcentral lists this ribosomal RNA (385 nucleotides) under uncultured bacterium. RNAcentral's name for it is "bacterial SSU rRNA". It matches the Rfam family "Bacterial small subunit ribosomal RNA", at positions 30 to 412 of the family's 1533-position model. The record is from RNAcentral.
AUUGAACGCUGGCGGCAUGCCUUACACAUGCAAGUCGAACGGCAACACGGGAGCUUGCUCCUGGUGGCGAGUGGCGAACGGGUGAGUAAAGCAUCGGAACGUGCCCUGAAGUGGGGGGAUAACGUAGCGAAAGUUACGCUAAUACCGCAUAUUCUGUGAGCAGGAAAGCAGGGGAUCUUCGGACCUUGUGCUUUAGGAGCGGCCGAUGUCGGAUUAGCUAGUUGGUGAGGUAAAGGCUCACCAAGGCGACGAUCCGUAGCGGGUCUGAGAGGAUGAUCCGCCACACUGGGACUGAGACACGGCCCAGACUCCUACGGGAGGCAGCAGUGGGGAAUUUUGGACAAUGGGCGCAAGCCUGAUCCAGCCAUGCCGCGUGAGUGAAGAA